This 377-nucleotide ribosomal RNA is filed under the name uncultured organism. RNAcentral describes it as "partial 16S ribosomal RNA". It matches the Rfam family "Bacterial small subunit ribosomal RNA", at positions 527 to 896 of the family's 1533-position model. The record is from RNAcentral.
GUAGGUGGCAAGCGUUGUCCGGAAGUUAUUGGGCGUAAAGCGCGCGCAGGUGGGUCUUUAAGUCUGAUGUGAAAGACCCCCGGGCUCAACCGGGGAGGGUCAUUGGAAACUGGGGAACUUGAGUGCAGGAGAGGAAAGUGGAAUUCCACGUGUAGCGGUGAAAUGCGUAGAUAUGUGGAGGAACACCAGUGGCGAAGGCGACUUUCUGGCCUGUAACUGACACUGAGGCGCGAAAGCGUGGGGAGCAAACAGGAUUAGAUACCCUGGUAGUCCACGCCGUAAACGAUGAGUGCUAAGUGUUCGGGGGGGUUUCCGCCCCCUCAGUGCUGCAGCUAACGCAUUAAGCACUCCGCCUGGGGAGUACGGUCGCAAGACUG